RNAcentral lists this ribosomal RNA (305 nucleotides) under uncultured bacterium. Its description in RNAcentral is "bacterial SSU rRNA". It matches the Rfam family "Bacterial small subunit ribosomal RNA", at positions 333 to 655 of the family's 1533-position model. The record is from RNAcentral.
AUGUGCCUACGGGGGGCAGCAGUGGGGAAUAUUGCACAAUGGGGGAACCCUGAUGCAGCGACGCCGCGUGGGUGAAGGAGUAUUUCGGUAUGUAAAGCCCUAUCAGCAGGGAAGAACAAUGACGGUACCUGACUAAGAAGCACCGGCUAAAUACGUGCCAGCAGCCGCGGUAAUACGCAUGGUGCAAGCGUUAUCCGGAUUUACUGGGUGUAAAGGGAGCGCAGGCGGCGCGUUAAGCCUGGUGUGAAAGCCCGCGGCCCAACCGCGGGACUGCAUUGGGAACUGCCAGGCUGGAGUGUCGGAGG